This 301-nucleotide ribosomal RNA is filed under the name uncultured bacterium. RNAcentral's name for it is "partial 16S ribosomal RNA". It matches the Rfam family "Bacterial small subunit ribosomal RNA", at positions 509 to 808 of the family's 1533-position model. The record is from RNAcentral.
CAGUCGCCACGGGAAUACGUAGGUCCCGAGCGUUGUCCGGAUUUAUUGGGCGUAAAGGGAGCGCAGGCGGUUUAGUAAGUCUGGAGUUAAAGGCAUUGGCUCAACCAAUGUAUGCUUUGGAAACUGGGAAACUUGAGUGCAGAAGAGGAGAGUGGAAUUCCACGUGUAGCGGUGAAAUGCGUAGAGAUGUGGAGGAACACCAGUGGCGAAGGCGACUCUCUGGUCUGUAACUGACGCUGAGGAGCGAAAGCGUGGGGAGCGAACAGGAUUAGAUACCCGUGUAGUCCCUGUCUCUUAUACA